RNAcentral lists this ribosomal RNA (253 nucleotides) under uncultured bacterium. Its description in RNAcentral is "partial 16S ribosomal RNA". It matches the Rfam family "Bacterial small subunit ribosomal RNA", at positions 524 to 776 of the family's 1533-position model. The record is from RNAcentral.
UACGAAGGGGGCUAGCGUUGUUCGGAAUUACUGGGCGUAAAGGGCGCGUAGGCGGUGUGUCAAGUCAGGCGUGAAAGCCCCGGGCUCAACCUGGGAACCGCGCUUGAGACUGGCACGCUCGAGUUCGGGAGAGGAUGGUGGAAUUCCCAGUGUAGAGGUGAAAUUCGUAGAUAUUGGGAAGAACACCGAUGGCGAAGGCAGCCAUCUGGACCGACACUGUCGCUGAGGCGCGAAAGCGUGGGGAGCAAACAGG